Long non-coding RNA from Homo sapiens (human), 1639 nucleotides. RefSeq lists it as uncharacterized. Lineage: Eukaryota; Metazoa; Chordata; Mammalia; Primates; Hominidae. The transcript is spliced from 2 exons. The record is from RefSeq and is a predicted model, not a curated record.
CUCAAGUGACCCUCCCACCUCUUCCUCCCAAAGUGCUGGGAUUACAGGCAUGACCUAUACAACCGGUACAUAUAGAUCACGCCUGGCCAACCCUUAACUAUCUAAAGGUGUCUGCACAGAGAACCAAAGAUACAGACAGAUUUGGUCGUGGUUGUGUUCCAAACUUUCAUUAUCUUUUUAAUUAAAUAUUCAUUGUAGAAAGGUCAGAAACUAUAGAUAAGCAAUACAAAAAAAUGUAAUUAGCCAUCAUUUUGCCACCUGGAGAUAAACACUACCAGAUUUUUUCCACACAUAUAUAAUCAUUUUUUUCAAAAUGGGCUCAUGCCGUACAAAUUAUUUUGUAAUUUGCUUUUCUCACUCAACAAUAUGUUGUGAACAUCUUUCCACAUCAAUAAAUAUUUGUCUGCAUCAUCAUUUAACAGCUGCAUGAUUUUCCACUAUAUGCAUUCAUGUACCAAGCCCUAGUGGUGGACAGUAUGACAGUAUGUUCUCUCUCUCUCUUUUUUUUUUUUUAGAGACAAAGUCUCACUUUGCCACCCAGGGCCAGAGUGCAGUGGCACCAUCAUAGCCCACUGCAGCCUCAGACUUCUGAGCUCAAGCAAUCCUCCUGCCACAGCCUGCCAAGGAGCUGGGACUACAGGCACAUGACAGUGUGCCCAGAUAAUUUUUUUUUUCAGAGACCAAGUCUUGUUAUGUUGCCCAGGCUGGUCUUGAACUCCUGGCCUCAAGUGAUCCUCUGGCCUCAGCCUCCCAAAGUGCUAGGAUUACAGAUGUGAGCCGCUGUGACUGUCCUCUCUCUGUUCUAAACCACACUCUGAUUUGCAUCUGCUGCAGGCAGACACAGCAAACAGAGAAGGGUAGGCCCUCAGCCCGUCCAGCCUCCACCCAAACCCCCCAUCCUCCUAGCCUGGCUCAGGCCCCAUUCUCUGGGGUGCCUCCUCUCCUGCUUCCCCAAAUGGAAGGCCCCAACUUCUAAAGCCUCUGGCCAAACCCUAGACUGCCUUCUAGACUGCACAGCAGGAUAAUACCAGCCAUGGAGAGAGAAGUCUGGAUGCCCUUUCAAGGAGCCUACAGCCAAGCUGUGCCUGCUUCAAGCUGAGCCAACCAUGUCUUCAUGGGGAGAACGGAGGGAAACUUAUGUGGCACUGUCGCCCAAUCCAAGGAAGUGGAGAUGGAAGUCACGAGCCAGGUGGACGGGUGUUGGCAGCAGACUGCACUGGACUUAAGCCUGUGGGGAUUAGCUUGGAGCCUCACCUAAGACCUGGGGGCCACUAAGAAGGCAGAACUCCUAGCAACCCACCGCCAAGGCCGUAGAAGGGUGGAACAGACCUCCAGGUGCAAUUACUCCCAAACCCACGGAGAAGAGGAGGCCCUUUAGGGCGUAUUGGGCUGUGAAGUGAAGAGCCGGGCUCAGACCUCAGGCUCCAGGAGGAGGCAGAGUGAGAACUGUUUUCUGUAUAUACUCAGAAGUUUCCUGAGGUCUUAAGAGUAGCAAGGUGAGAAAGGGAAGGUGUUGCUAUCCUAUCUAGGUGUACAGAGAGACACACACACCAAGGAUGGAGACGGUUUAUUGUUAUACCAAAAAUAUAUGUAUAUAUCUAUAUAUAUAUGCAGAAAUAAAGGAUCAGAAGGCUAUAAA